AUUGAACGCUGGCGGCAUGCCUUACACAUGCAAGUCGAACGGCAGCACGGGAGCAAUCCUGGUGGCGAGUGGCGAACGGGUGAGUAAUAUAUCGGAACGUGCCCAGUCGUGGGGAUAACGUAGCGAAAGCUACGCUAAUACCGCAUACGAUCUAUGGAUGAAAGCGGGGGAUCGCAAGACCUCGCGCGAUUGGAGCGGCCGAUAUCAGAUUAGGUAGUUGGUGAGGUAAAGGCUCACCAAGCCGACGAUCUGUAGCUGGUCUGAGAGGACGACCAGCCACACUGGGACUGAGACACGGCCCAGACUCCUACGGGAGGCAGCAGUGGGGGAAUAUUGGACAAUGGGCGGAAAGACCUGAUCCAGCAAUGCCGCGUGAGUGAUGAAGGCC
Molecule: ribosomal RNA, 388 nt
Filed under: uncultured bacterium
Lineage: Bacteria
Description: bacterial SSU rRNA
Rfam family: Bacterial small subunit ribosomal RNA
Source: RNAcentral